UUCCGAAUAUUCAUCAAUUAGUGAUUGUACCCUUUGUACCCUAACUGUGAAAAGUUAAAUCAGAAAAGGAAAAGCAAGUGAUAUAUUGGCCUCAGAAUUCAGUUAGGUAUUUUCCAAUCUCUAUUAUGAGUCCUACACUACAUGUUUACGCGCAAGGAAAAGUCUCAAUGUCAUGUAUGGCUGAACAGGGAAGAUAAAGCACGUGGGGAAUCCGGCAGAGAG
RNAcentral lists this long non-coding RNA (222 nucleotides) under Capsicum annuum. RNAcentral's name for it is "long non-coding RNA (CANN_LNC015906)". The record is from RNAcentral. Lineage: Eukaryota; Viridiplantae; Streptophyta; Magnoliopsida; Solanales; Solanaceae.